CAGAAGGACUCUGAAAUUUUCCCAGAUUUUUCUCUCCACAAAUCUGAAAGGUAAGAUCUUAAAUCUUACCGAAGAAAAGAUGAGUUGAAACAAAGAGCAAUAUCAUGGGACUGGAGAAAGAACUCUGGCUCUUCCAACAGAGUGAGAACAAAUUUGGCCAAGGUCGAACAGUGUGACAAAAUUCUGCUACGCACUUCAGGAACAAAUUCAAUUUAUUUUUCUGUUCCCUUCAGUUUGGGAUGGAGCAGUAAGAGAAGAGAGCUGCCUAAGGAGUGACAGGGACAUGUGGACAGUGACAGAAAGAAAUGUCACUUCUGAAUGAGCCCCAGCUCCACCUUGUUAAUAUCUUGCUAUCGUUGAUCACUUGGAAGCUGAAUAUUACAAAUUAAAAUCACUCCUUGGCUAGCCACAACAAUCCUUCACCUCUUCAAAUCUAUGAUCUUUCCUGCAUUUUUCAGGUUAAUGAGGCUGGGAGCACAUGCACAUCGUAUGCUCAGGGCUGCGCAAAUUGCUGUGGAUGCUCUGGGUUCCUGUGUCCCACCCCAGUGGCGCCCCCACACAAGGUUCAGUCUGCAGGGAUGGGAACAGUCAGAGGCUGAGAGAGGCUCUGAGAUAUGGCCCUGUGCUGAUCUCUGCAUGGAGAUGUACCACAGAGGGAAUCCCUUAAUGCUGCUCACUCCCACCUUUCCCUACGUUGCAUUGCCAACAAGGCACUUGUGUCUCCUGUCCUCACAGACUGGAUGGGUCCUGUGCAGUUUGUACCUUGUCCGGAGCUAGAUCACAGCCACCAGAGACCUGGGGUCAGAAGUGGUUUAGGAUGCUCUCCCUGCACAUGGAAACUGUUGGGCAGACAUUGAGAAGCUGACGGUAUCAAAAACAGUUGAAAAGAAGACAGUCAUUUUCUACAUAAAGGGAUGAAUAUUUACACUUAUGCUGAAUCUGAAAAAGUGAGGAAGUAUGUGAGGAGUAUGUGAGGAGUAUGAUAGAGGAGCAGAAGACCAUAACCAAUGUCCUCAGCUGCUUUUGGUCUGUCACAAAGGAGCAGACUUCCCCAGUAUCCCUGUAAAUCACACCUCCCAAAUGUUUCCAAGAUGAGGACUCAGACCAAAUGCAAUGCAAGGAAUGAAGGAUGGGGAGAUGAGCAGAACAAGAAGAAUGAAAUUGUGGAUUGAGUUUCCUUUCUCUGUUUUUCCUUUUUUGCUGGCCCAGCACAGCACUUCCUGUUAGCCCUCAGAAACAUAUUCCAGAAAUGCAUCAGCUCUAAGGAAGACCUGCGAGAGACUGAUCCCUGCCACUGAUGCCAGUAUUUCCUGGGAGGUGGAUCUCAGCUGUGGCCAAGGCCUGGACAUCCUUUGGUGUUAGGGCUGGUGAGCCUCACUCUCCCAAGGCUUUUCCCUGUGGAACACACAGAAGUGGCUUAUUAAAUUGCGUCUCUCCAAGUGAAGAUAUCAAGGCUCAUAUUCCCUUUCGGUUUAGGUUGAAGUUCAUAAUUCCCAGGCUACUGCUUGUCUCAAAACUUUUUUCUGGAAGUAAGUAAAGUCCCUCCUUCAGUUGAAGUGCUGCAGGCUGGUGGUCAGCAACAACCCUAGACCCCACCCCCUUUCAAAUUGUCGGCAUUCCGCAUCACCUUUGGUGAACCAAUGAAGUCAAUAGCCAACAAAAUGGGAAACAUCCCCCUGACGACCCUCAGAGCUGAUACCCAGGUAUGCAGGACAUGUACUGAUUUUUUACAAGGGCAAUAAAUAAAUAAAAACAUCCUGAUACUCGUGCAAGGAAAAUUCCACAUAGUCAUCCCACCA
Molecule: long non-coding RNA, 1799 nt
Organism: Corvus hawaiiensis (hawaiian crow)
Lineage: Eukaryota; Metazoa; Chordata; Aves; Passeriformes; Corvidae
Exons: 3
Source: RefSeq, a predicted model, not a curated record